UGCAGUCGUACGCUUCUUUUUCCACCGGAGCUUGCUCCACCGGAAAAAGAGGAGUGGCGAACGGGUGAGUAACACGUGGGUAACCUGCCCAUCAGAAGGGGAUAACACUUGGAAACAGGUGCUAAUACCGUAUAACAAUCGAAACCGCAUGGUUUUGAUUUGAAAGGCGCUUUCGGGUGUCGCUGAUGGAUGGACCCGCGGUGCAUUAGCUAGUUGGUGAGGUAACGGCUCACCAAGGCCACGAUGCAUAGCCGACCUGAGAGGGUGAUCGGCCACAUUGGGACUGAGACACGGCCCAAACUCCUACGGGAGGCAGCAGUAGGGAAUCUUCGGCAAUGGACGAAAGUCUGACCGAGCAACGCCGCGUGAGUGAAGAAGGUUUUCGGAUCGUAAAACUCUGUUGUUAGAGAAGAACAAGGAUGAGAGUAACUGUUCAUCCCUUGACGGUAUCUAACCAGAAAGCCACGGCUAACUACGUGCCAGCAGCCGCGGUAAUACGUAGGUGGCAAGCGUUGUCCGGAUUUAUUGGGCGUAAAGCGAGCGCAGGCGGUUUCUUAAGUCUGAUGUGAAAGCCCCCGGCUCAACCCGGGGAGGGUCAUUGGAAACUGGGAGACUUGAGUGCAGAAGAGGAGAGUGGAAUUCCAUGUGUAGCGGUGAAAUGCGUAGAUAUAUGGAGGAACACCAGUGGCGAAAGGCGGCUCU
Molecule: ribosomal RNA, 702 nt
Filed under: Enterococcus sp. M357
Lineage: Bacteria; Bacillati; Bacillota; Bacilli; Lactobacillales; Enterococcaceae
Description: bacterial SSU rRNA
Rfam family: Bacterial small subunit ribosomal RNA
Source: RNAcentral